Molecule: ribosomal RNA, 200 nt
Filed under: uncultured bacterium
Lineage: Bacteria
Description: partial 16S ribosomal RNA
Rfam family: Bacterial small subunit ribosomal RNA
Source: RNAcentral
UACGGAGGGUGCAAGCGUUGUCCGGAUUUAUUGGGUUUAAAGGGUGCGUAGGCGGCUGAUUAAGUCAGCGGUGAAAGUUUUCGGCUCAACCGAGAGACUGCCGUUGAUACUGGUCAGCUUGAGUUAUGGAGGGGUACAUGGAAUUUAUGGUGUAGCGGUGAAAUGCAUAGAUACCAUAAGGAACACCGAUAGCGAAGGCA